GAGGCAUGAUUUGGGUCGGCAGUGUGGGGCUGUCCCCUGCAGGGCCUGGAAGCUGCAGAGUGAACGGGCUGUGGACCCUGCUGGGUCCCUCAGGGUGGGCCUGGGGAAAGAAGGUCAAGGGCUGAGGGCCCUGAGGGGCCUUGGUUGAAAGGGAAGCUCUUGAAGGGACGGGGUGGGGCGGAGGGCAGGUGAGAGAGGAGAGCCAUUGGAGGUUGCGCCCCGGGCCAGGCCGAUCAGGAACUGGGACAGCAGAGCGGAGGCCAGAGAGAUGCGGAGGCCCGAGGAGGGCCACAGCGCGGCGGAGCGGGAGGCUGGUCUCGAGGCAGAGUGAUGAGAGAUGGAGGAACCAACGGCGCCAAGAAGGGGUGGAGCCUGGGGCCUGGCCUGGGCACCGUCCUUCUACCCGUUCGCAGCAGCACCUGUUGGAAGCCGGGACGGCUCCUGGAGGCAGAGGGGGCCUGCCCGGUUCUCUUCACUCAGCUCCACUUCCGGAGGCUCCCUGAGCGAGGUCCCGGCUGCCGUUCUGAGCCCUGAGUUCCAGGCCUUUGACUGGGACAUGGAGGCGGGGCAUGAGAAGUGACUCCUUCUGUGGCCGGCUCACUGCCCUGCAGCCUGCUCAGGGGCACUCUGCGGUCACCCCAGCCACUUGCAGCUGCCUCCGGGGCCAAGGAGGAAGAGAGAGACACAGGGAGACCACCCCGUAAAGAAUGGAGGCCGAGACUGGCAUGAUGAUGAAUCUGAAGGCCAAGGAUUGCAGGUAGCCACCAGGAGCUGGGAGAGGGGUCCGGAACAGAUUCUGCCUCAGAGCCUGCAGAAGGCACCAGCCCUGCCCAUGCCUUGCUUUUGGACCGCUAUCCUCUGGAACAGUGAGGGAAUACUUUGUUGUUGUUUUAAGCGAAGCUUGGCCAAGCUUGUGGUACCUUGUUAGAGCAGCCCCAGGGAACUGAUACAGAGGCUGAUGUUAGGAAAUUCUUGCUGUAGAUGCUCCUCCAGAGACACUUGAGAGAGGAACUGAGGCCCCUGCCCUCAACCACACGGAGCGGGGCCCGUGUCUGAGGAGCUGCAGUGUGGCUGGCUUUGUGCCUAGGAUUCCGUGAGGCUGGAAGGUAACAACCCCAGGGUGGGCUCAUUCUACUGAAAAGCUGAGGGGGCAGAGUAAAAUGGGACCUGUCCAAAGUGUCAAUCUGAAGGUAAGACAAGGGCAAAGGAGUCAGUUGAUUCAUUCAUUCAUUCACUCACUCACCUCUUACUUAGGGAGCCCUACUAUGUGCCUGGCCCUGGGAACACAAAGUCCAGAGACAAGAACCAGCCUGCCCUGCCCUCAGGAAGCUUGAGCCUGAGGGGUUCAUGCUCAUCAACCAGGAGGUUGGGUCCAUGAGCAUUAAGAUUUCUUCCAGCUCUGACAUUUGGUGACUAAAAGGGAGAAAAAGGGUGAUCUGGCUGGGGGCCAUCACCCUGCCACCAGGGCAUUUUUGGGGGCCACUGCUGUCUCUCUGCCUGGACAAGGCCAAGGAGGGGCUAUAGGGGAUGUGAGCCCAUGAGGACGUGGAGCUGGACCCCUAAUUUCCUCUACAGGCACAGGUGGUGAUGCACACUGUCGGGGACAAAUGCUGGCCCUGCCUGACCAGUGCAGCCACUGGCGGGACACUAUCUGCGGCGAGACGGGCCUCAGCGGCCACCACUAAUUGUACAAAACUGAAACAUCUCAAGAAUAUUUUCAGCCCAUUUGCACUUAUCAAAUAGCACACUGGAAACCCCAGCAAUUUGCGUAGGAUCCUUUCCAGAAUGAGGGAGAUUUCACAAACUUGGCCUCGUGCAGGGUGAGCUGCUUGGGAUUUCAGCCUCAGAGUGGGCCUGGCCUCCUUGUUCCCAUUUGCCCCACCUUCUCCCAGGGCUCCAGCCACUCCCCAGCACACCUGGCCGCACCAUGCAAGGCAACUCUGAGACAGACACCCCAGCCACGAGAUGUCUGUGUUCCUUCGGCUCUUUGGCUUCUCCUUCUUGGCAUUUUUGGCAGUUCCACGGUGCUCAGCAGCUGGGCAUCUGGCCGACUAAGAAAUGCAAAGUUCGGGGCCUGAAGCCGCUGCUGCCUUGGCUGUGGUUUGUCUGAAGCUCCAUUUCGUUUGGGCUAGAGGUGAACGCUUCCCUCCGGAGACCCCUGCAGGCGGGGUCUGAAGCGAAGGUCAAGGAACGGUCGCUUCCACCGUGGCUGGGUGGCGUUCGUCUGGCACAGACACAGCCUGACAACAUGCUGACGGGUGGCCCAGGAGCAGUGACAGGGCCAGCGGACUGGAGGAGCUGCCCGAGGCCAGACACGGCUUACAGGCCUCCCUGCUCCUUCCCGGCCACAGUUGCACAACAGCCCUGACUGUUAGCUCCCCAGACGCUUUUAUUAACAGUCCCAUGUUACCCGACAAUUGAACAUAAUUAAGACAGAACAACCUUUGCAGUUGACUUUACCUUUUAAGACCUCACAGACUUUUACAAGGACGUCCCAGAAUGGCUGCUUUUCAAAGGGAAGGCAAGAGAUAUGCUGAGAGCCCCAAGAAAGAGGGGAACCCCGAAAUGCCUCAUACUCAUAAACAAAAUGAAGAAAAAACACAUACUGUGAUUUACAGUUAUAGAAGUAACAGACGGUCACAGAAGACAAUUUGGAGGGUACAGCAAAGUAAAAGAAAUGAAACAGAAGCCACUCACAAUCCCACCCCCGGAGACCACUGUCAGUGUUUUGGGGGAUACGUAUCCUUCCCGAAUAUGAAAAUCUCUCAUAACAUCUGUACCUUAGAAAUAAAAAUGGAACCAGACUUUGACACUACA
Equus caballus (horse) is the source of this 2817-nucleotide non-coding RNA. NCBI's taxonomy places the organism in Eukaryota, Metazoa, Chordata, Mammalia, Perissodactyla, Equidae. The record is from RefSeq and is a predicted model, not a curated record.